AGGCGAGGCCGAAAGGCGUAGUCGAUGGGAAACAGGUUAAUAUUCCUGUACUUGGUGUUACUGCGAAGGGGGGACGGAGAAGGCUAUGUUGGCCGGGCGACGGUUGUCCCGGUUUAAGCGUGUAGGCUGGUUUUCCAGGCAAAUCCGGAAAAUCAAGGCUGAGGCGUGAUGACGAGGCACUACGGUGCUGAAGCAACAAAUGCCCUGCUUCCAGGAAAAGCCUCUAAGCAUCAGGUAACAUCAAAUCGUACCCCAAACCGACACAGGUGGUCAGGUAGAGAAUACCAAGGCGCUUGAGAGAACUCGGGUGAAGGAACUAGGCAAAAUGGUGCCGUAACUUCGGGAGAA
Molecule: ribosomal RNA, 348 nt
Filed under: Escherichia coli
Lineage: Bacteria; Pseudomonadati; Pseudomonadota; Gammaproteobacteria; Enterobacterales; Enterobacteriaceae
Description: partial 23S ribosomal RNA
Rfam family: Bacterial large subunit ribosomal RNA
Source: RNAcentral